Molecule: ribosomal RNA, 401 nt
Filed under: uncultured bacterium
Lineage: Bacteria
Description: bacterial SSU rRNA
Rfam family: Bacterial small subunit ribosomal RNA
Source: RNAcentral
GGGCCCGCACAAGCGGUGGAGCAUGUGGUUUAAUUCGAUGCAACGCGAAGAACCUUACCAGGACUUGACAUACUACAAAUUCUUUUGAGAAAAAGAAGUGCCUUCGGGAAUGUAGAUACAGGUGGUGCAUGGCUGUCGUCAGCUCGUGUCGUGAGAUGUUGGGUUAAGUCCCGCAACGAGCGCAACCCUUAUUUUUAGUUACCAAUUCGUUGGGUUCUCUAGAAAGACUGCCGGUGACAAACCGGAGGAAGGUGAGGAUGACGUCAAGUCAGCAUGCCCCUUAUGUCCUGGGCUACACACGUGCUACAAUGGUUAAGACAAAGAGUCGCGAGCUCGCAAGAGUCAGCUAAUCUCAUAAACUCGGUCUCAGUUCGGAUUGCAGGCUGCAACUCGCCUGCAUG